Molecule: ribosomal RNA, 386 nt
Filed under: uncultured bacterium
Lineage: Bacteria
Description: bacterial SSU rRNA
Rfam family: Bacterial small subunit ribosomal RNA
Source: RNAcentral
AUUGAACGCUGGCGGCAUGCUUUACACAUGCAAGUCGAACGGUAACAGGUCUUUCGGGAUGCUGACGAGUGGCGAACGGGUGAGUAAUGUAUCGGAACGUGCCCAGUAGUGGGGGAUAACUACUCGAAAGAGUGGCUAAUACCGCAUGAGAUCUCUGGAUGAAAGCGGGGGACCGUAAGGCCUCGCGCUACUGGAGCGGCCGAUAUCAGAUUAGGUUGUUGGUGAGGUAAAGGCUCACCAAGCCGACGAUCUGUAGCUGGUCUGAGAGGACGACCAGCCACACUGGGACUGAGACACGGCCCAGACUCCUACGGGAGGCAGCAGUGGGGAAUUUUGGACAAUGGGCGCAAGCCUGAUCCAGCAAUGCCGCGUGCAGGACGAAGGCC